GAUGAACGCUAGCGGCAGGCCUAACACAUGCAAGUCGAGGGGCAGCACAAAGGAUAGCUUGCUAUUCUUGGUGGCGACCGGCGCACGGGUGCGUAACGCGUAUGCAACCUACCCGUAACUGGGGGAUAAUCUGGAGAAAUUCGGUCUAAUACCCCAUAAUACAUUGAGUGGCAUCACUUGAUGUUGAAAAUUCCGAUGGUUACGGAUGGGCAUGCGUUGUAUUAGCUAGUUGGUGAGGUAACGGCUCACCAAGGCUACGAUACAUAGGGGAACUGAGAGGUUAAUCCCCCANACUGGUACUGAGACACGGACCAGACUCCUACGGGAGGCAGCAGUGAGGAAUAUUGGUCAAUGGGGCGAGAGCCUGAACCAGCCAAGUCGCGUGAGGGAAGACGGUACUAAGUAUUGUAAACCUCUUUUGUCAGGGAACAAAGAGACCACGUGUGGUAAGAUGAGUGUACCUGAAGAAAAAGCAAUCGGCUAACUCCGUGCCAGCAG
RNAcentral lists this ribosomal RNA (498 nucleotides) under uncultured bacterium. RNAcentral describes it as "bacterial SSU rRNA". It matches the Rfam family "Bacterial small subunit ribosomal RNA", at positions 28 to 514 of the family's 1533-position model. The record is from RNAcentral.